RNAcentral lists this ribosomal RNA (510 nucleotides) under uncultured bacterium. RNAcentral's name for it is "partial 16S ribosomal RNA". It matches the Rfam family "Bacterial small subunit ribosomal RNA", at positions 28 to 507 of the family's 1533-position model. The record is from RNAcentral.
GACGAACGCUGGCGGCGUGCUUAACACAUGCAAGUCGAACGAAGAGCGAUGGAAGCUUGCUUCUAUCAAUCUUAGUGGCGAACGGGUGAGUAACGCGUAAUCAACCUGCCCUUCAGAGAGGGACAACAGUUGGAAACGACUGCUAAUACCGCAUACGAUCUAAUCUCGGCAUCGAGGAUAGAUGAAAGGUGGCCUCUACAUGUAAGCUAUCACUGAAGGAGGGGAUUGCGUCUGAUUAGCUAGUUGGAGGGGUAACGGCCCACCAAGGCGAUGAUCAGUAGCCGGUCUGAGAGGAUGAACGGCCACAUUGGGACUGAGACACGGCCCAGACUCCUACGGGAGGCAGCAGUGGGGAAUCUUCCGCAAUGGACGAAAGUCUGACGGAGCAACGCCGCGUGAGUGAUGACGGCCUUCGGGUUGUAAAGCUCUGUUAAUCGGGACGAAAGGCCUUCUUGCGAAUAGUGAGAAGGAUUGACGGUACCGGAAUAGAAAGCCACGGCUAACUACGUG